CAAUAGCGUGUAUUAAAGUUGUUGCAGUUAAAAAGCUCGUAGUUGAAUUUUUGCUUGCCGCCGAUGUCGGAACUUCCGUACGUUCGGCGGCGUGCAUCCUUGGGUGGAACCUGUGUGGCAUUAGGUUGUCGUGCAGGGGAUGCUCAUCGUUUACUGUGAAAAAAUUAGAGUGUUCAAAGCAGGCUUACGCCGUUGAAUAUAUUAGCAUGGAAUAAUAAGAUAGGACCUUGGUACUAUUUUGUUGGUUUGCGCACCGAGGUAAUGAUUAACAGGGACAGUUGGGGGUAUUCGUAUUCCAUUGUCAGAGGUGAAAUUCUUGGAUUUCUGGAAGACGAACUACUGCGAAAGCAUUUACCAAGGAUGUUUUCAUUAA
Molecule: ribosomal RNA, 373 nt
Filed under: uncultured eukaryote
Lineage: Eukaryota
Description: partial 18S ribosomal RNA
Rfam family: Eukaryotic small subunit ribosomal RNA
Source: RNAcentral